AUUGAACGCUGGCGGCAGGCUUAACACAUGCAAGUCGAGCGGGGUGAUGGUGCUUGCACUAUCACUUAGCGGCGGACGGGUGAGUAAUGCUUAGGAAUCUGCCUAUUAGUGGGGGACAACAUCUCGAAAGGGAUGCUAAUACCGCAUACGUCCUACGGGAGAAAGCAGGGGAUCACUUGUGACCUUGCGCUAAUAGAUGAGCCUAAGUCGGAUUAGCUAGUUGGUGGGGUAAAGGCCUACCAAGGCGACGAUCUGUAGCGGGUCUGAGAGGAUUGUCCGCCACACUGGGACUGAGACACGGCCCAGACUCCUACGGGAGGCAGCAGUGGGGAAUAUUGGACAAUGAGGGGAACCCUGAUCCAGCCAUGCCGCGUGUGUGAAGAAGGCCUUAUGGUUGUAAAGCACUUUAAGCGAGGAGGAGGCUCUUUUGGUUAAUACCCAAGAUGAGUGGACGUUACUCGCAGAAUAAGCACCGGCUAACUCUGUGCCAGCCGCCGCCGUAA
RNAcentral lists this ribosomal RNA (503 nucleotides) under uncultured bacterium. RNAcentral describes it as "partial 16S ribosomal RNA". It matches the Rfam family "Bacterial small subunit ribosomal RNA", at positions 30 to 523 of the family's 1533-position model. The record is from RNAcentral.